This 440-nucleotide ribosomal RNA is filed under the name uncultured bacterium. Its description in RNAcentral is "partial 16S ribosomal RNA". It matches the Rfam family "Bacterial small subunit ribosomal RNA", at positions 338 to 795 of the family's 1533-position model. The record is from RNAcentral.
CCUACGGGAGGCAGCAGUGGGGAAUAUUGCACAAUGGGGGAAACCCUGAUGCAGCGACGCCGCGUGAGUGAAGAAGUAUUUCGGUAUGUAAAGUUCUAUCAGCAGGGAAGAAAAUGACGGUACCUGACUAAGAAGCCCCGGCUAACUACGUGCCAGCAGCCGCGGUAAUACGUAGGGGGCAAGCGUUAUCCGGAUUUACUGGGUGUAAAGGGAGCGUAGACGGCAGGGCAAGUCUGGGGUGAAAUCCCAGGGCUCAACCCCGGGACUGCUUUGGAAACUGUCAGGCUGGAGUGUAGGAGAGGCAAGUGGAAUUCCUAGUGUAGCGGUGAAAGGCGUAGAUAUUAGGAGGAACACCAGUGGCGAAGGCGGCUUGCUGGACGAUGACUGACGUUGAGGCUCGAAAGCGUGGGGAGCAAACAGGAUUAGAUACCCGUGUAGUC